Molecule: non-coding RNA, 746 nt
Filed under: Phyllotreta hemipoda
Lineage: Eukaryota; Metazoa; Arthropoda; Insecta; Coleoptera; Chrysomelidae
Source: RNAcentral
UAAAAAUUUAAUUUUAGUUUAGAAGUUAAGUAAUAUUUUUUAUUAUAUAUAAAUUCUAUUUAAAGAAAUUGUUUGUAGUAUUUAAAUUUAUUAAUAUAAUAAUUUAUGAUUUAGAAAUAAUAUUAAGUAUAAACUAAGUUUGUGCCAGCAGUUGCGGUUAUACAAACUAUACAAUUUAAUUUUUUUAAUUUGAAUUAAUUAUUAAUUAAAUUAUUUAAUUAAUUAUAAUGAGGUGAAAUUUUAUAAUUUAUAAUAUUAAUUUUUUUUAGUUAAUGAAAUUUUGAAAUUUUAAUAAUAGACUAGGAUUAGAUACCCUAUUAUUUAAAUAGUUAUAAAAAAAUUAAAUUAUUAAUAGUUAUGUUCUUAAAAAUUAAAAAAUUUGGCGGUAUUUUAAUCUUUUCAGAGGAACCUGUUUAUUCAAUGAUACUCCACGAUUAAAUUUACUUACAUUAGAAACUUAUAUAUCGUUGUAAAAAAUAUUUUUAAAGAAAAUUAAUAUUUAAGUAUUAGGAUAAUAAUAAAAAUCAGAUCAAGAUGUAGUAUAUAUGUAAGUAUAAAUGGGUUACACUAAUUUUAAUUGAGGUUUAAAUUUUUUAAUAGAUUGAUUAAUAUGGAUUUGAUAGUAAUUUUAAUAAUUUUAUUAAAAUGAUACUGCUCUAAAAUAUGUACAUAUUGCCCGUCGCUUUCAUUUAAAAUGGAAUAAGUCGUAACAAAGUAAAUUUACUGGAAAGUGAAUUUAGAUUCAA